RNAcentral lists this transfer RNA (69 nucleotides) under Elephantulus brachyrhynchus (short-snouted elephant shrew). Its description in RNAcentral is "tRNA-Glu". It matches the Rfam family "tRNA". Rfam says of the family: Transfer RNA (tRNA) molecules are approximately 80 nucleotides in length. Their secondary structure includes four short double-helical elements and three loops (D, anti-codon, and T loops). The record is from RNAcentral. Lineage: Eukaryota; Metazoa; Chordata; Mammalia; Macroscelidea; Macroscelididae.
GUUCCUGUAGUUGAAGUACAACAAUGAUUUUUCAUGUCAUUAGUCGUGGUUUGAGGCCAUGCGGGAAUA